GACGGGUGAGUAAUGUCUGGGAAACUGCCUGAUGGAGGGGGAUAACUACUGGAAACGGUAGCUAAUACCGCAUAAUGUCGCAAGACCAAAGAGGGGGACCUUCGGGCCUCUUGCCAUCGGAUGUGCCCAGAUGGGAUUAGCUUGUUGGUGGGGUAACGGCUCACCAAGGCGACGAUCCCUAGCUGGUCUGAGAGGAUGACCAGCCACACUGGAACUGAGACACGGUCCAGACUCCUACGGGAGGCAGCAGUGGGGAAUAUUGCACAAUGGGCGCAAGCCUGAUGCAGCCAUGCCGCGUGUAUGAAGAAGGCCUUCGGGUUGUAAAGUACUUUCAGCGGGGAGGAAGGGAGUAAAGUUAAUACCUUUGCUCAUUGACGUUACCCGCAGAAGAAGCACCGGCUAACUCCGUGCCAGCAGCCGCGGUAAUACGGAGGGUGCAAGCGUUAAUCGGAAUUACUGGGCGUAAAGCGCACGCAGGCGGUUUGUUAAGUCAGAUGUGAAAUCCCCGGGCUCAACCUGGGAACUGCAUCUGAUACUGGCAAGCUUGAGUCUCGUAGAGGGGGGUAGAAUUCCAGGUGUAGCGGUGAAAUGCGUAGAGAUCUGGAGGAAUACCGGUGGCGAAGGCGGCCCCCUGGACGAAGACUGACGCUCAGGUGCGAAAGCGUGGGGAGCAAACAGGAUUAGAUACCCUGGUAGUCCACGCCGUAAACGAUGUCGACUUGGAGGUUGUGCCCUUGAGGCGUGGCUUCCGGAGCUAACGCGUUAAGUCGACCGCCUGGGGAGUACGGCCGCAAGGUUAAAACUCAAAUGAAUUGACGGGGGCCCGCACAAGCGGUGGAGCAUGUGGUUUAAUUCGAUGCAACGCGAAGAACCUUACCUGGUCUUGACAUCCACGGAAGUUUUCAGAGAUGAGAAUGUGCCUUCGGGAACCGUGAGACAGGUGCUGCAUGGCUGUCGUCAGCUCGUGUUGUGAAAUGUUGGGUUAAGUCCCGCAACGAGCGCAACCCUUAUCCUUUGUUGCCAGCGGUCCGGCCGGGAACUCAAAGGAGACUGCCAGUGAUAAACUGGAGGAAGGUGGGGAUGACGUCAAGUCAUCAUGGCCCUUACGACCAGGGCUACACACGUGCUACAAUGGCGCAUACAAAGAGAAGCGACCUCGCGAGAGCAAGCGGACCUCAUAAAGUGCGUCGUAGUCCGGAUUGGAGUCUGCAACUCGACUCCAUGAAGUCGGAAUCGCUAGUAAUCGUGGAUCAGAAUGCCACGGUGAAUACGUUCCCGGGCCUUGUACACACCGCCCGUCACACCAUGGGAGUGGGUUGCAAAAGAAGUAGGUAGCUUAACCUUCGGGAGGGCGCUUACCACUUUGUGAUUCAUGACUGGGGUGAAGUCGUAACAAGGUAACCGUAGGGGAACCUGCGGUUGGAUCAC
Molecule: ribosomal RNA, 1428 nt
Filed under: Escherichia coli
Lineage: Bacteria; Pseudomonadati; Pseudomonadota; Gammaproteobacteria; Enterobacterales; Enterobacteriaceae
Description: bacterial SSU rRNA
Rfam family: Bacterial small subunit ribosomal RNA
Source: RNAcentral